UACAGAGGUCUCAAGCGUUGUUCGGAUUCAUUGGGCGUAAAGCGCGUGUAGGCGGCCCACUAAGUCUGAUGUGAAAGCCCGGGGCUCACCCCCGGAAGUGCAUUGGAAACUGGUGGACUCGAGUCCCGGAGAGGAGGGUGGAAUUCCUGGUGUAGCGGUGAAAUGCGUAGAUAUCAGGAGGAACACCGGUGGCGAAGGCGGCCCUCUGGACGGUGACUGACGCUGAGACGCGAAAGCGUGGGGAGCAAACAGG
RNAcentral lists this ribosomal RNA (253 nucleotides) under uncultured bacterium. Its description in RNAcentral is "partial 16S ribosomal RNA". It matches the Rfam family "Bacterial small subunit ribosomal RNA", at positions 524 to 776 of the family's 1533-position model. The record is from RNAcentral.